GCCUUCGUGGUGUAGUGGUCAGCACACUCGGCGCGUAGUAGAGAGAUGCAGGUUCGAGUCUCGGCGAGGGCA
Molecule: non-coding RNA, 72 nt
Organism: Stegodyphus mimosarum
Lineage: Eukaryota; Metazoa; Arthropoda; Arachnida; Araneae; Eresidae
Source: Rfam